AUUGAACGCUGGCGGCAGGCUUAACACAUGCAAGUCGAGCGGGGUGAUGGUGCUUGCACUAUCACUUAGCGGCGGACGGGUGAGUAAUGCUUAGGAAUCUGCCUAUUAGUGGGGGACAACAUCUCGAAAGGGAUGCUAAUACCGCAUACGUCCUACGGGAGAAAGCAGGGGAUCACUUGUGACCUUGCGCUAAUAGAUGAGCCUAAGUCGGAUUAGCUAGUUGGUGGGGUAAAGGCCUACCAAGGCGACGAUCUGUAGCGGGUCUGAGAGGAUGAUCCGCCACACUGGGACUGAGACACGGCCCAGACUCCUACGGGAGGCAGCAGUGGGGAAUAUUGGACAAUGGGGGGAACCCUGAUCCAGCCAUGCCGCGUGUGUGAAGAAGGCCUUAUGGUUGUAAAGCACUUUAAGCGAGGAGGAGGCUCUUUUGGUUAAUACCCAAGAUGAGUGGACGUUACUCGCAGAAUAAGCACCGGCUAACUCUGUGCCGGCAGCCGCCGCCG
This 503-nucleotide ribosomal RNA is filed under the name uncultured bacterium. Its description in RNAcentral is "partial 16S ribosomal RNA". It matches the Rfam family "Bacterial small subunit ribosomal RNA", at positions 30 to 523 of the family's 1533-position model. The record is from RNAcentral.